GAUGAACGCUGGCGGCGUGCCUAAUACAUGCAAGUCGAGCGAACAGAUAAGGAGCUUGCUCCUUUGACGUUAGCGGCGGACGGGUGAGUAACACGUGGGUAACCUACCUAUAAGACUGGGAUAACUUCGGGAAACCGGAGCUAAUACCGGAUAACAUUUGGAACCGCAUGGUUCUAAAGUGAAAGAUGGUUUUGCUAUCACUUAUAGAUGGACCCGCGCCGUAUUAGCUAGUUGGUAAGGUAACGGCUUACCAAGGCAACGAUACGUAGCCGACCUGAGAGGGUGAUCGGCCACACUGGAACUGAGACACGGUCCAGACUCCUACGGGAGGCAGCAGUAGGGAAUCUUCCGCGAUGGGCGAAAGCCUGACGGAGCAACGCCGCGUGAGUGAUGAAGGGUUUCGGCUCGUAAAACUCUGUUAUUAGGGAAGAACAAACGUGUAAGUAACUGUGCACGUCGUGACGGUACCUAAUCAGAAAGCCACGGCUAACUACG
This 495-nucleotide ribosomal RNA is filed under the name uncultured bacterium. RNAcentral describes it as "partial 16S ribosomal RNA". It matches the Rfam family "Bacterial small subunit ribosomal RNA", at positions 28 to 505 of the family's 1533-position model. The record is from RNAcentral.